CCUACGGGAGGCAGCAGUAGGGAAUAUUGGGCAAUGGAGGCAACUCUGACCCAGCCAUGCCGCGUGCAGGAUGAAGGCGUUAUGCGUUGUAAACUGCUUUUAUAUAGGAAGAAAUAGACCUUGCGAGGUAAGUUGACGGUACUAUAUGAAUAAGCACCGGCUAACUCCGUGCCAGCAGCCGCGGUAAUACGGAGGGUGCAAGCGUUGUCCGGAUUUAUUGGGUUUAAAGGGUGCGUAGGCGGUUUAUUAAGUCAGUGGUGAAAGACGGUCGCUCAACGAUUGCAGUGCCAUUGAUACUGGUAGACUUGAGUGUGAUUGAGGUAGCUGGAAUGGAUAGUGUAGCGGUGAAAUGCAUAGAUAUUAUCCAGAACACCAAUUGCGUAGGCAAGUUACUAAGUCACAACUGACGCUGAGGCACGAAAGUGUGGGUAUCAAACAGGAUUAGAUACCCUGGUAGUCCACACUGUAAACGAUGAUAACUAACUGUUGGCUUUUGGGUCAGUGGUACAGAGAAAUCGUUAAGUUAUCCNCGNGGUGUGCGCGAGUAGAGAGAAGAGUUGNGNGNGNGNGNGCGAGNGACGAGNGGAGAG
This 590-nucleotide ribosomal RNA is filed under the name uncultured bacterium. Its description in RNAcentral is "bacterial SSU rRNA". It matches the Rfam family "Bacterial small subunit ribosomal RNA", at positions 338 to 873 of the family's 1533-position model. The record is from RNAcentral.